GGUUAAGCGACUAAGCGUACACGGUGGAUGCCCUGGCAGUCAGAGGCGAUGAAGGACGUGCUAAUCUGCGAUAAGCGUCGGUAAGGUGAUAUGAACCGUUAUAACCGGCGAUUUCCGAAUGGGGAAACCCAGUGUGUUUCGACACACUAUCAUUAACUGAAUCCAUAGGUUAAUGAGGCGAACCGGGGGAACUGAAACAUCUAAGUACCCCGAGGAAAAGAAAUCAACCGAGAUUCCCCCAGUAGCGGCGAGCGAACGGGGAGCAGCCCAGAGCCUGAAUCAGUGUGUGUGUUAGUGGAAGCGUCUGGAAAGGCGCGCGAUACAGGGUGACAGCCCCGUACACAAAAAUGCACAUGCUGUGAGCUCGAUGAGUAGGGCGGGACACGUGGUAUCCUGUCUGAAUAUGGGGGGACCAUCCUCCAAGGCUAAAUACUCCUGACUGACCGAUAGUGAACCAGUACCGUGAGGGAAAGGCGAAAAGAACCCCGGCGAGGGGAGUGAAAAAGAACCUGAAACCGUGUACGUACAAGCAGUGGGAGCACGCUUAGGCGUGUGACUGCGUACCUUUUGUAUAAUGGGUCAGCGACUUAUAUUCUGUAGCAAGGUUAACCGAAUAGGGGAGCCGAAGGGAAACCGAGUCUUAACUGGGCGUUAAGUUGCAGGGUAUAGACCCGAAACCCGGUGAUCUAGCCAUGGGCAGGUUGAAGGUUGGGUAACACUAACUGGAGGACCGAACCGACUAAUGUUGAAAAAUUAGCGGAUGACUUGUGGCUGGGGGUGAAAGGCCAAUCAAACCGGGAGAUAGCUGGUUCUCCCCGAAAGCUAUUUAGGUAGCGCCUCGUGAAUUCAUCUCCGGGGGUAGAGCACUGUUUCGGCAAGGGGGUCAUCCCGACUUACCAACCCGAUGCAAACUGCGAAUACCGGAGAAUGUUAUCACGGGAGACACACGGCGGGUGCUAACGUCCGUCGUGAAGAGGGAAACAACCCAGACCGCCAGCUAAGGUCCCAAAGUCAUGGUUAAGUGGGAAACGAUGUGGGAAGGCCCAGACAGCCAGGAUGUUGGCUUAGAAGCAGCCAUCAUUUAAAGAAAGCGUAAUAGCUCACUGGUCGAGUCGGCCUGCGCGGAAGAUGUAACGGGGCUAAACCAUGCACCGAAGCUGCGGCAGCGACGCUUAUGCGUUGUUGGGUAGGGGAGCGUUCUGUAAGCCUGUGAAGGUGUGCUGUGAGGCAUGCUGGAGGUAUCAGAAGUGCGAAUGCUGACAUAAGUAACGAUAAAGCGGGUGAAAAGCCCGCUCGCCGGAAGACCAAGGGUUCCUGUCCAACGUUAAUCGGGGCAGGGUGAGUCGACCCCUAAGGCGAGGCCGAAAGGCGUAGUCGAUGGGAAACAGGUUAAUAUUCCUGUACUUGGUGUUACUGCGAAGGGGGGACGGAGAAGGCUAUGUUGGCCGGGCGACGGUUGUCCCGGUUUAAGCGUGUAGGCUGGUUUUCCAGGCAAAUCCGGAAAAUCAAGGCUGAGGCGUGAUGACGAGGCACUACGGUGCUGAAGCAACAAAUGCCCUGCUUCCAGGAAAAGCCUCUAAGCAUCAGGUAACAUCAAAUCGUACCCCAAACCGACACAGGUGGUCAGGUAGAGAAUACCAAGGCGCUUGAGAGAACUCGGGUGAAGGAACUAGGCAAAAUGGUGCCGUAACUUCGGGAGAAGGCACGCUGAUACGUAGGUGAAGUCCCUCGCGGAUGGAGCUGAAAUCAGUCGAAGAUACCAGCUGGCUGCAACUGUUUAUUAAAAACACAGCACUGUGCAAACACGAAAGUGGACGUAUACGGUGUGACGCCUGCCCGGUGCCGGAAGGUUAAUUGAUGGGGUCAGCGCAAGCGAAGCUCUUGAUCGAAGCCCCGGUAAACGGCGGCCGUAACUAUAACGGUCCUAAGGUAGCGAAAUUCCUUGUCGGGUAAGUUCCGACCUGCACGAAUGGCGUAAUGAUGGCCAGGCUGUCUCCACCCGAGACUCAGUGAAAUUGAACUCGCUGUGAAGAUGCAGUGUACCCGCGGCAAGACGGAAAGACCCCGUGAACCUUUACUAUAGCUUGACACUGAACAUUGAGCCUUGAUGUGUAGGAUAGGUGGGAGGCUUGGAAGUGUGGACGCCAGUCUGCAUGGAGCCGACCUUGAAAUACCACCCUUUAAUGUUUGAUGUUCUAACGUUGACCCGUGAUCCGGGUUGCGGACAGUGUCUGGUGGGUAGUUUGACUGGGGCGGUCUCCUCCUAAAGAGUAACGGAGGAGCACGAAGGUUGGCUAAUCCUGGUCGGACAUCAGGAGGUUAGUGCAAUGGCAUAAGCCAGCUUGACUGCGAGCGUGACGGCGCGAGCAGGUGCGAAAGCAGGUCAUAGUGAUCCGGUGGUUCUGAAUGGAAGGGCCAUCGCUCAACGGAUAAAAGGUACUCCGGGGAUAACAGGCUGAUACCGCCCAAGAGUUCAUAUCGACGGCGGUGUUUGGCACCUCGAUGUCGGCUCAUCACAUCCUGGGGCUGAAGUAGGUCCCAAGGGUAUGGCUGUUCGCCAUUUAAAGUGGUACGCGAGCUGGGUUUAGAACGUCGUGAGACAGUUCGGUCCCUAUCUGCCGUGGGCGCUGGAGAACUGAGGGGGGCUGCUCCUAGUACGAGAGGACCGGAGUGGACGCAUCACUGGUGUUCGGGUUGUCAUGCCAAUGGCACUGCCCGGUAGCUAAAUGCGGAAGAGAUAAGUGCUGAAAGCAUCUAAGCACGAAACUUGCCCCGAGAUGAGUUCUCCCUGACUCCUUGAGAGUCCUGAAGGAACGUUGAAGACGACGACGUUGAUAGGCCGGGUGUGUAAGCGCAGCGAUGCGUUGAGCUAACCGGUACUAAUGAACCGUGAGGCUUAACCUU
Molecule: ribosomal RNA, 2904 nt
Filed under: Escherichia coli
Lineage: Bacteria; Pseudomonadati; Pseudomonadota; Gammaproteobacteria; Enterobacterales; Enterobacteriaceae
Description: 23S ribosomal RNA
Rfam family: Bacterial large subunit ribosomal RNA
Source: RNAcentral